GGGCCUGUAGCUCAGGGGUAGAGCGCUCGCUUUGCAUCGACCAUCCGAUGGUAUGCGAGAGGCCUAGGGUUCAAAUCCCUACCGGUCCA
Non-coding RNA from Xylaria sp. CBS 124048, 89 nucleotides. The record is from the annotation of a GenBank genome assembly. Lineage: Eukaryota; Fungi; Ascomycota; Sordariomycetes; Xylariales; Xylariaceae.